UAAUACGGAGGAUGCGAGCGUUAUCCGGAUUUAUUGGGUUUAAAGGGUGCGUAGGCGGCGAGUUAAGUCAGCGGUAAAAGCCCGGGGCUCAACCCCGGCCCGCCGUUGAAACUGGCUGGCUUGAGUUGGGGAAAGGCAGGCGGAAUGCGCGGUGUAGCGGUGAAAUGCAUAGAUAUCGCGCAGAACCCCGAUUGCGAAGGCAGCCUGCCGGCCCCACACUGACGCUGAGGCACGAAAGCGUGGGUAUCGAACAGGAUUAGAUACCCUGGUAGUCCACGCAGUAAACGAUGAAUGCUUGCUGUCCGGGGGGAUUUGCCCCUGGGGGGCGCAGCGAAAGCGAUAAGCAUUCCACCUGGGGAGUACGCCGGCAACGGUG
Molecule: ribosomal RNA, 376 nt
Filed under: uncultured bacterium
Lineage: Bacteria
Description: bacterial SSU rRNA
Rfam family: Bacterial small subunit ribosomal RNA
Source: RNAcentral